GCCUCUGAGUGGUGGAUCACUCGGCUCGUGUGUCGAUGAAGAACGCAGCUAGCUGCGAGAACAUGUGAAUUGCAGGACACAUUGAUUAUCGACACUUCGAAUGCACUUUGUAGCCCCGGGUUACUCCAAGGUCUAAACCUGUCUGAGGGUCA
Molecule: ribosomal RNA, 152 nt
Organism: Protopterus annectens (West African lungfish)
Lineage: Eukaryota; Metazoa; Chordata; Ceratodontiformes; Protopteridae
Product: 5.8S ribosomal RNA
Exons: 1
Source: RefSeq, a predicted model, not a curated record